This 269-nucleotide ribosomal RNA is filed under the name uncultured prokaryote. RNAcentral describes it as "partial 16S ribosomal RNA". It matches the Rfam family "Bacterial small subunit ribosomal RNA", at positions 524 to 792 of the family's 1533-position model. The record is from RNAcentral.
UACGGAGGAGGCAAGCGUUGUUCGGAUUUACUGGGUGUAAAGGUCAUGUAGGCGUCCUAUUAAGUCGGAUGUGAAAUCCCUUAGCUUAACUAAGGAACUGCAUUCGAUACUGGUAGGAUUGAGUACUUGAGAGGUAAGCGGAAUUCCGGAAGUAAGGGUGAAAUCUGUAGAUAUCCGGAAGAACACCAUUAGCGAAGGCGGCUUACUGGCAAGAUACUGACGCUGAAAUGAGAAAGCUAGGGUAGCAAACAGGAUUAGAUACCCCCGUA